UGUCACUAGAUCUAAUCUUCAGAGUAGUGACGUAAGAAACUAUCUAGUUUGCCAUUCUGUUCGUCUUUCAGAACAUAUGCGGAACAAAUAUCAUGGCAAACAGACAAAGGAAUGUCUAGGUAUAAAAGAGAAGUGGAUGGAUCUUCGACUAUCUCGUGUCAUUUCGGAUCCAAUCAAUAAUUAAAUCAUUUAUUUAAAAAAUAUUAUAUAGAUAAUUAUAAUAUUAAUUAUUAAUUUAUUUAAAUUAUAUUUUUUUUGAAUGUCGCAAAAUUGAUAUGGAUGAGUAUAUUUGUCAUUGUAAACAUAAGAGGAAGAAAGAUUUAAUUUACACUCAUGGCAUAUUUUUACUUAGAAAAACAAAA
This 362-nucleotide long non-coding RNA is filed under the name Elaeis guineensis (African oil palm). RNAcentral describes it as "long non-coding RNA (EGUI_LNC016736)". Lineage: Eukaryota; Viridiplantae; Streptophyta; Magnoliopsida; Arecales; Arecaceae. The record is from RNAcentral.